RNAcentral lists this ribosomal RNA (492 nucleotides) under uncultured bacterium. Its description in RNAcentral is "partial 16S ribosomal RNA". It matches the Rfam family "Bacterial small subunit ribosomal RNA", at positions 29 to 507 of the family's 1533-position model. The record is from RNAcentral.
AGUGAACGCUGGCGGUAGGCCUAACACAUGCAAGUCGAACGGCAGCACAGUAAGAGCUUGCUCUUACGGGUGGCGAGUGGCGGACGGGUGAGGAAUACAUCGGAAUCUACUUUUUCGUGGGGGAUAACGUAGGGAAACUUACGCUAAUACCGCAUACGACCUACGGGUGAAAGCAUGGGAUCUUCGGACCUUGCGCGAUUGAAUGAGCCGAUGCCGGAUUAGCUAGUUGGCGGGGUAAAGGCCCACCAAGGCGACGAUCCGUAGCUGGUCUGAGAGGAUGAUCAGCCACACUGGAACUGAGACACGGUCCAGACUCCUAAGGGAGGCAGCAGUGGGGAAUAUUGGACAAUGGGCGCAAGCAUGAUCCAGCCAUACCGCGUGGGUGAAGAAGGCCUUCGGGUUGUAAAGCCCUUUUGUUGGGAAAGAAAAGCAGCAGGUUAAUACCCCGCUGUUCUGACGGUACCCAAAGAAUAAGCACCGGCUAACUUCGUG